RNAcentral lists this ribosomal RNA (613 nucleotides) under uncultured bacterium. RNAcentral's name for it is "bacterial SSU rRNA". It matches the Rfam family "Bacterial small subunit ribosomal RNA", at positions 15 to 606 of the family's 1533-position model. The record is from RNAcentral.
GAUCCUGGCUCAGAACGAACGCUGGCGGCGUGGAUAAGACAUGCAAGUCGGACGAGACUUUUCGUUGUAGCAAUACGAUGGAAAGUUUAGUGGCGAACGGGUGCUUAACACGUGGGCAACCUGCCAGGAAGUGGGGGAUAGCUCGCCGAAAGGCGAAUUAAUACCGCAUGUGAUUAGAGAGGACAUCCUUUCGAAAUUAAAGUCGGGGCAACCUGACGCUUCUUGUGGGGCCCGCGGCCUAUCAGCUAGUUGGUGAGGUAACGGCUCACCAAGGCUUUGACGGGUAGCUGGUCUGAGAGGACGACCAGCCACACUGGGACUGAGACACGGCCCAGACACCUACGGGUGGCAGCAGUCGAGAAUUUUUGACAAUGGGGGAAACCCUGAUCGAGCGACGCCGCGUGGAGGAUGAAGGUCUUCGGAUUGUAAACUCCUGUCAUUGGGGAACAAGGUGCAUACGUUAACUGCGUGUGCAUUGAUAGUACCCGAAGAGGAAGAGACGGCUAACUCUGUGCCAGCAGCCGCGGUAAUGCAGAGGUCUCAAGCGUUGUUCGGAUUCAUUGGGCGUAAAGGGUGCGUAGGCGGCGCGGUAAGUCGGGUGUGAAAUCUCGGA